AGCAGCAGCCGCGGGAAUACGUAGGGUGCAAGCGUUAAUCGGAAUUACUGGGCGUAAAGCGUGCGCAGGCGGUUAUAUAAGACAGAUGUGAAAUCCCCGGGCUCAACCUGGGAACUGCAUUUGUGACUGUAUAGCUAGAGUACGGCAGAGGGGGAUGGAAUUCCGCGUGUAGCAGUGAAAUGCGUAGAUAUGCGGAGGAACACCGAUGGCGAAGGCAAUCCCCUGGGCCUGUACUGACGCUCAUGCACGAAAGCGUGGGGAGCAAACAGGAUUAGAUACCCGUGUAGUCCCUGUCUCUUAUAC
Molecule: ribosomal RNA, 303 nt
Filed under: uncultured bacterium
Lineage: Bacteria
Description: partial 16S ribosomal RNA
Rfam family: Bacterial small subunit ribosomal RNA
Source: RNAcentral